Macrobrachium nipponense is the source of this 2251-nucleotide RNA transcript. It is a transcript of the gene named queuine tRNA-ribosyltransferase catalytic subunit 1-like, with no coding region annotated. The transcript has 11 exons. Lineage: Eukaryota; Metazoa; Arthropoda; Malacostraca; Decapoda; Palaemonidae. The record is from RefSeq and is a predicted model, not a curated record.
AGAGAAGAAGCUCAAGCAAACACAAGCAAAGGAGGAAUAAAAGAAGCAAGGGAGCCGUUUCAAAGGCAUAUCCCACCCACUACUACUACUAGCAAACAGCACAGGUUUGUGAACAAUUCAACAAUCGUGUCACCACUAGGUAAUGCUUGAAACUGGCUCGAAUUUUAAAGAUUUGUGAGGGAUGGCAGCUGCAGUAAAGAAUUCAGUCACUGUAUCUUCAGUGGGAACUGCAGCAGCAACAGCUGCAACAGUUAGCAGUAGCAGUUCAAGUCCUGCUCUCAGUUUCAGUAUACUAGCUGAGUGUGCAAAAUCAAAAGCUCGCACAAGUCUUAUGAAGCUGCCUCAUUACACUGUAGAAUUGCCCAUGUUUAUGCCAGUUGGAACUCAGGGUACUAUGAAAGGUUUGCUUCCAGAACAGGUCAAGGAUGCCAGUGCCCAAAUCAUUCUUGGGAAUACUUACCACUUGGGAACCCGUCCAGGAAAGGAUCUCCUUAACAAAUGUAAAGGGCUUCAUAACUUUAUGCAAUGGGACAGGGCACUCUUGACUGACUCAGGUGGAUUUCAAAUGGUAUCACUUCUUGAGCUGGCGGAGAUCACUGAAGAAGGAGUUAAAUUCCGGUCUCCAUACGAUGGAUCGGAGUGCAUGUUAACUCCAGAAGAAAGUAUUGAGAUACAAAAUGCCAUUGGUGGGGACAUCAUGAUGCAGUUGGAUGAUGUUGUAGAUGUCAGAGAGAAGGAUUAUGAGCGUUUUAAAGUUGCUACUCACAGAACCACACGGUGGCUUGACCGUUGCAUGAAAGCAAAUAAGAAUCCAGACCGACAGAACUUAUUUCCUAUUGUCCAGGGUGGCCUCUUUCCAGAUCUUAGGAAGAUUUCUUUAGAAGAGCUCAUAGCAAGAGAUGCCCCUGGUUAUGCUGUUGGUGGACUCAGUGGAGGGGAAGAAAAAGAUAAAUUUUGGCCAACUGUACAUCUCUGCACAGAUCAUUUACCCAAGAAUAAACCUCGAUAUUGCAUGGGAGUUGGAUUUGCUGUUGAUCUAGUUGUAUGUUGUGCUCUUGGGGUCGACAUGUUUGAUUGUGUUUUCCCAACCAGAACAGCUAGGUUUGGUUGUGCGUUGGUGGACAAUGGGCAAAUUAAUCUCAAGGCACGUGAAUUUGCAAAUGAUUUUCGACCCUUAGAUGAAAAAUGUGACUGCAUGACAUGCCAGAAUUAUACUCGUGCUUAUCUAAACACCAUUGUCACUAAAGAGACUGUAGCUUGUCAUCUGUUAUCUAUCCACAAUAUUUCUUACCAGAUGAGGCUGAUGAAGAAUAUCCGUGAGAGCAUAAAGGAAGGUAGAUUUGAAGAAUUUGUUCAAGAUUUUAUGUCAACAUAUUACAAAGACAAAACUUAUCCAAAGUGGGUGAUAGAUGCCUUGUCAGCUGUAAACAUCACUCUGAGAGAAUUGAACUGAUGAAUGACCUUGGUUUUAUUCGAGAAAAUCCAAAGGUGCUUCAUCACUCAUCGCUGGAAGAUCCUCAUGAGCUCAAGACAUCAUGUUCCCUACAUCCUGUACCUUUACUCCCAGAAGAUAUAGUGAAGGAGUUUGAAGAUAAAGUCAAUAAUGAGAUAGGCUAUCUUUGACUGGAGACCCUUCCUCAAAAUGUUCUUCCUCAUCAUUGUCUGUUGCAAGGAGCUCACAGAAGCCGAGAAAGUCACCCUUCAGGCAUCAGGCAAACUCCUUUUGCAGAAGUGCCUUUACUUCACACAAUCACAACGUAAUGAGUUAUCACCAUAUAUAGUAAGAAAGUUAACAAGUUAAAUUAGGCUGGUGCAACUGAGAUUGUUUUAAACAGAAUUAGGCAUCUUAUGAUUAAGGGGCUUUUGUAUCAUAAAACAUUACACUUUCAUAAAGCUACCUAGUAUUACAACUAAAUGCUUAAACAUUAUAAAGUAAUAAAAAAUUAUGCAUGUAUGUACCAGAGGAAAAAAUGGGUCAUCAAUCACAAACUUUUUCUUUUGAAAGGUAAAUUAUAAAUGAAUAUUGUUAGCUAGAAAUAGUUUCAAAAACAUCUGUAUAUUCUUUUAAAAAGUAUUGAAAGGCACAAUAAAUAUUGUGGUGGUCUCCUUGGAGAUAACUAAAUCCCAUAUUCUACCAAUAGAAACCAAAUCUUACUGAUUUCACUGACUAGAGUCACAAAAGUCUUUAAUAAAAUAAUCUACAUAAUUUAAGACAAUAAUAAAAUACAUUUUUUAAUGUAACAUACCAAAU